RNAcentral lists this long non-coding RNA (1243 nucleotides) under Trifolium pratense (red clover). Its description in RNAcentral is "long non-coding RNA (TPRA_LNC006401)". The record is from RNAcentral. Lineage: Eukaryota; Viridiplantae; Streptophyta; Magnoliopsida; Fabales; Fabaceae.
UAGCACACAGGCAUUAGUGCCAACAAGUAAUCAUAUGUUUUAUUACAGAAUUAGAAAACAAUGAGGACAUUAAAAGCCACAUUUUAGCAAUUCAACAUAAGAUAGAUUAGCUUAACUUGAUGCUUUUCACUUACUACCCCAAUUGAAUUUUAAGUUAUUGAGGCUCGACUAGUCCAAGCAUGUAGCCAUAAACAAAUUUUGUAACACAUGCAGUAUGGUCAGAAUUAUGGAACCAAAUCACCAAUAAAUUCAUGAUAUAGCGAAUUGAACUAAAUCCAUAAGCCAUACAAAACCACUGCCCCAUAUGGAUUUUUUUUUUGAAUGACUAGAGUAUAACAAGUACAUAGCCUCCAGAAUAAAGAAAAAAUAAAGUAAACUCAAAAGAAAGAACUCCUAAGCCGCCCAUGACUAGAGUGAGAGCCACCAAACCCCAAAAUAAUCGACGACCAAGAAGAGAGAAACAGAAGAAACCAAGAAGAGAAGAACGGAAAGAAAAACUUACACUCCUCCAAAAUCACCAAAAUCCAGAAGCAUGCACCACCACACACAAGACUCUAAGUGUUCCAACACGAGACUCAUAAAGAGAGCACUGCCCCAUAAGGACUAUAAAAUAGGAUUACAACAAAUGGUAGGAAUCUUUGUAGACAAUUUACCAUGAAAAUGUAGACAUCCUCAGCUAAUCCUCUAAAAUGGCGCCAUAUCUAAAUUACUAAAUCUCUACGGCUGAUAGAAAAACUAUUAUCACCUUGUGUGCUCCACACGUUCCCCGAUGAAAAUUAGUUAUCACUAACGGCAGUAGAAACUUUGUACCAAUAUUAUGGUAAACAAAAAAAAACAUAAAACUGUUGUUUAUCUUCUAAUUACCUCUAAUAACUAUACAACUCAUAUAUAUAUAUAUAUAUAUAUAUGCAUUGAGUUUACUAAAAAGUAAGAACUAAUUAAAACGAAAAAAUUAAGGAAUAUCUAAAUAGCAUCAUCUCUAUAAAGCUGGUAAUAAGACUGUUAUUUAUCUACUAAUUACUUUUAAUAAAACAUCUACGCUGAUAGCUAUACUAAUAAAAUUAGAGUUAUUGGGCUUCGAAGUAAAAUAGUUAUUUUAUUCAACUUAUAUAAUAUAUUUCAAUUUCAUUAAUCAUAGGUCUAAAUUGGAGGCCUUGUGAAACAUCCAUAAUUAAGAUAGAAAAAAUAUACAAUCUAAUAGUAUUUAGUGUCUUAUUUUAUUUAAUUACCAACAUUUUAGAGU